AGAGUUUGAUCCUGGCUCAGGACGAACGCUGGCGGCGUGCCUAAUACAUGCAAGUCGAGCGGAUGAAGAGGAGCUUGCUCCUUUGAUUCAGCGGCGGACGGGUGAGUAACACGUGGGCAACCUGCCUGUAAGACUGGGAUAACUUCGGGAAACCGGAGCUAAUACCGGAUAACUAAUUGAACCACAUGGUUCAAUUAUAAAAGAUGGUUUCGACUAUCACUUACAGAUGGGCCCGCGGCGCAUUAGCUAGUUGGUGAGGUAACGGCUCACCAAGGCGACGAUGCGUAGCCGACCUGAGAGGGUGAUCGGCCACACUGGGACUGAGACGCGGCCCAGACUCCUACGGGAGGCAGCAGUAGGGAAUCUUCCGCAAUGGACGAAAGUCUGACGGAGCAACGCCGCGUGAGUGAUGAAGGUUUUCGGAUCGUAAAGCUCUGUUGUUAGGGAAGAACAAGUGCCGGAGUAACUGCCGGUGCCUUGACGGUACCUAACCAGAAAGCCACGGCUAACUACGUGCCAGCAGCCGCGGUAAUACGUAGGUGGCAAGCGUUGUCCGGAAUUAUUGGCGUAAGCGCGCGCAGGCGGUUUCUUAAGUCUGAUGUGAAAGCCCGGCUCACCGGGGAGGGUCAUUGGAAACUGGGGACUUGAGUACAGAAGAGGAAGUGGAUUCCACGUGUAGCGUGAAUGCGUAGAGAUGUGGAGACACAGUGGCGAAGGGACUUCUGUUUGUACUGACGCUGAGCGCGAAGCGUGGGGAGCGAACAGAUAGAACCCUGUAGUCACGCGUACCGAGAUGCUAGUGUGGAGGUCGCCUUAGUGCUGCGCUACGAUAGACUCCGCUGGAAUACGGUCGCAGACUG
RNAcentral lists this ribosomal RNA (860 nucleotides) under uncultured bacterium. Its description in RNAcentral is "bacterial SSU rRNA". It matches the Rfam family "Bacterial small subunit ribosomal RNA", at positions 8 to 896 of the family's 1533-position model. The record is from RNAcentral.